This 821-nucleotide transfer RNA is filed under the name Bradyrhizobium canariense. RNAcentral describes it as "partial contains 16S-23S ribosomal RNA intergenic spacer and 23S ribosomal RNA". The stretch from base 180 to 253 matches the Rfam family "tRNA". The record is from RNAcentral. Lineage: Bacteria; Pseudomonadati; Pseudomonadota; Alphaproteobacteria; Hyphomicrobiales; Nitrobacteraceae.
GUUCUUCAGAAGCUUGCUUCUAUCGAACCGUUUUAGAAACAUCAGUGGCCAACGGUCGUCAGGAUCGUUGAGCUGCAUUGGCGGGAUUUCGCCGUCUUCGUUUCUCUUUCUUCGCGGACGAACACGCGCUGGGGCUGCAACCUUGCAGAAUCCCUGGUCCUUGACUGGAUAUGCGUUAGGGGCUUGUAGCUCAGUUGGUUAGAGCGCGCGCUUGAUAAGCGUGAGGUCGGAAGUUCAAGUCUUCCCAGGCCCACCACACUCAUCGAGUGAGCAUUCGUCUUCUGGUUACGGGGCCAUAGCUCAGCUGGGAGAGCGCGUGCUUUGCAAGCAUGAGGUCGUCGGUUCGAUCCCGUCUGGCUCCACCAGAUGGUUUGAUCACCGACUACUCAUACCGUCGUCCGCGAAACAUCACUUCGCACUUACUAGUCCGGAUGGACAGUAAGCUGCGUGAUUUCUGACAUCGUAAAGAGGAGAUCGAUCCGAGUUGGAUCGGGCAACAAGUAAUUGUUGCGCGAUACUCCAUUAUCUCCGGAUCAUUUCGGCGCUCGUGCGUCUUCCAGGGUAGCUCACAAGGCUGCGUCUGAAGGACAAGCGAGUUGUAAAUGAUCCUUUUAGCGAAGCUUGACCGCCUCGCUAUCGGAACGAUCUUACGAAGCAAGCUGGUCUUUCUAAUCAUUGUCCGGCUGCAGAUAGCGUUCAUCGAGGGCGCGUGCCUUAGAGACUUAGGUUUCUUGGCAAUUCUGCAGACAACAUUCUGCCGAGUGUGUGGACAUUGAUAAUGAGAGCAAUCAAGUGCCUUAAGGGUGUUCGGUGUGCUGCGA